This 599-nucleotide ribosomal RNA is filed under the name Bacillus cereus. Its description in RNAcentral is "bacterial SSU rRNA". It matches the Rfam family "Bacterial small subunit ribosomal RNA", at positions 43 to 626 of the family's 1533-position model. The record is from RNAcentral. Lineage: Bacteria; Bacillati; Bacillota; Bacilli; Caryophanales; Bacillaceae.
CGUGCUAUACAUGCAGUCGAGCGAAUGGAUUAAGAGCUUGCUCUUAUGAAGUUAGCGGCGGACGGGUGAGUAACACGUGGGUAACCUGCCCAUAAGACUGGGAUAACUCCGGGAAACCGGGGCUAAUACCGGAUAACAUUUUGAACCGCAUGGUUCGAAAUUGAAAGGCGGCUUCGGCUGUCACUUAUGGAUGGACCCGCGUCGCAUUAGCUAGUUGGUGAGGUAACGGCUCACCAAGGCAACGAUGCGUAGCCGACCUGAGAGGGUGAUCGGCCACACUGGGACUGAGACACGGCCCAGACUCCUACGGGAGGCAGCAGUAGGGAAUCUUCCGCAAUGGACGAAAGUCUGACGGAGCAACGCCGCGUGAGUGAUGAAGGCUUUCGGGUCGUAAAACUCUGUUGUUAGGGAAGAACAAGUGCUAGUUGAAUAAGCUGGCACCUUGACGGUACCUAACCAGAAAGCCACGGCUAACUACGUGCCAGCAGCCGCGGUAAUACGUAGGUGGCAAGCGUUAUCCGGAAUUAUUGGGCGUAAAGCGCGCGCAGGUGGUUUCUUAAUCUGAUGUGAAAGCCCACGGCUCAACCGUGGAGGGUCAU